CAACAAGUAACAAUAACUACUGCAACAGCUUAAUGUACACAAGUAUUUAAUUCGUACAUACAUUUAUACAAGUUAUUUCUUUUAUGUUUUAAAUAAUUUACACCUACAUACAAGACUACUUCUUCCACAAAAUGUAUUUUAUAUUAAUGCUCAGUCUAUAGAGAAUACUACCACCUAGGCCUUCCCAACAGCAAUGGAAUGGUCACUCCAUAUCAAAGAUAGGCCUUCUUUGUUGCAAAAAGAAUAGAUCGUUCCUUAAUGGACAUAAUUAAAAUGCCACAGAACCUUUUUGCUAAAAAUAAACAAGCAGAAUAUACUUUGAUCACUUUUGUAAUAAGCAGUCUUGAUAGAAACCACAGCAAUCUCAUUAUGUAGACAUAAAUUACACAGUUAAAUUCGGUAAACAUGAAUAUAUUUAAUAUGGGAGGAUGGU
Molecule: non-coding RNA, 433 nt
Organism: Biomphalaria pfeifferi
Lineage: Eukaryota; Metazoa; Mollusca; Gastropoda; Planorbidae
Source: the annotation of a GenBank genome assembly